Non-coding RNA from Schistosoma mansoni, 45 nucleotides. The record is from Rfam. NCBI's taxonomy places the organism in Eukaryota, Metazoa, Platyhelminthes, Trematoda, Strigeidida, Schistosomatidae.
AUCCAGCCGACGAGUCCCAAAUAGGACAAAACGCGCGUGUCGGAC